UGCGGCAGACGGCGGGCUGCGGGCAGAGCAGGCUGUUGCAGGGCACGCUGGGCCGCAGGCAAGGAGACCAAAGUACAGGAGGAUUGAAUAAUUGCCCCAGGCCACACAAUCAAGCAAGACUUGGAACCCAAGCAGUUUGGUUACAGAGUCCAGGCAGUAAUGACCCAGCCAUGCCACCUUUCAGCUGGUAAACAGCCAGGUUUACUCUGAUUAUUUCCAGCCUACAUGGAUCCUGCUCAACUCUUUUCUACUUAUUGCCUCAACCACACGACUUAACAUUUCAUUGUAAAAAGUCUUGGUUUGUAUAUUAAGAUCUUCUCUCUCUAAUAAGUUGCAUUUGUUCCAGCUGCCUAUGACAAGCAUCCUUCAUGACUGCACCGAAUGCCUUCGAUCACGGUGCCCAUGUCACUUCUCUCUCUAGCCUGUCCUUUCCAUUCUCUUCACUGUUUAUCAAACUCUACUCAUGGAUUUAGGCUUGGCUAAGGCUCACCACUUCCCCCAAACCUUCCCAGAUACCUCCCCAGGCAAGAUGCAUAUGUUUGUCCUCUGUGCUCCUGUGUACCUGGGUUGCAGAAUAUCUCUGUCUCAUGUGUUACAGAAGGUAGGGUGUGUUUCAGCCUCUCCCACUAAAUUGGGAGCUCUAUAAAGGUCAAGAUCAUGUCUUACUAAUCUUGGUUUUCUUUAGUGCCUACUACAGUGCCUGACACAAUACAAGGACUCAAUAAAAGUUUGUUAAA
Non-coding RNA from Kogia breviceps (pygmy sperm whale), 737 nucleotides. NCBI's taxonomy places the organism in Eukaryota, Metazoa, Chordata, Mammalia, Artiodactyla, Physeteridae. The record is from RefSeq and is a predicted model, not a curated record.